UNUGGGCUGUAACUGACGCUGAGAAGCGAAAGCAUGGGGAGCGAGCAGGAUUAGAUACCCUGGUAGUCCAUGCCGUAAACGUUGGGCACUAGGUGUGGGGGACAUUNCACGUUUUCCGCGCCGUAGCUAACGCAUUAAGUGCCCCGCCUGGGGAGUACGGCCGCAAGGCUAAAACUCAAAGAAAUUGACGGGGGCCCGCACAAGCGGCGGAGCAUGCGGAUUAAUUCGAUGCAACGCGAAGAACCUUACCAAGGCUUGACAUAUACUGGACUGCGUCAGAGAUGGCGUUUCCCUUCGGGGCUGGUAUACAGGUGGUGCAUGGUUGUCGUCAGCUCGUGUCGUGAGAUGUUGGGUUAAGUCCCGCAACGAGCGCAACCCUCGUUCUAUGUUGCCAGCACGUGAUGGUGGGGACUCAUAGGAGACUGCCGGGGUCAACUCGGAGGAAGGUGGGGAUGACGUCAAAUCAUCAUGCCCCUUAUGUCUUGGGCUUCACGCAUGCUACAAUGGCCGGUACAGAGGGUUGCGAUACUGUGAGGUGGAGCUAAUCCCUAAAAGCCGGUCUCAGUUCGGAUUGGGGUCUGCAACUCGACCCCAUGAAGUCGGAGUCGCUAGUAAUCGCAGUUCAGCAACGCUGCGGUGAAUACGUUCCCGGGCCUUGUACACACCGCCCGUCAAGUCACGAAAGUUGGUAACACCCGAAGCCGGUGG
RNAcentral lists this ribosomal RNA (708 nucleotides) under uncultured bacterium. RNAcentral describes it as "bacterial SSU rRNA". It matches the Rfam family "Bacterial small subunit ribosomal RNA", at positions 728 to 1433 of the family's 1533-position model. The record is from RNAcentral.